CGCUGGCGGCGUGCUUAACACAUGCAAGUCGAACGGGAAGACAUGAAGAGCUUGCUCUUUAUGAAAUCCAGUGGCAAACGGGUGAGUAACACGUAAACAACCUGCCUUCAGGAUGGGGACAACAGACGGAAACGACUGCUAAUACCGAAUACGAUUCUUGAGUCGCAUGACACAAGAAAGAAAGGGUGGCCUCUACUUGUAAGCUAUCGCCUGGAGAGGGGUUUGCGUCCGAUUAGGUAGUUGGUGAGGUAACGGCCCACCAAGCCGACGAUCGGUAACCGGUCUGAGAGGAUGAACGGCCACAUUGGAACUGAGACACGGUCCAGACUCCUACGGGAGGCAGCAGUGGGGAAUCUUCCGCAAUGGGCGAAAGCCUGACGGAGCAACGCCGCGUGAGUGAAGACGGCCUUCGGGUUGUAAAACUCUGUGAUUCGGGACGAAAGAUAAGCAGACGAAUAAUCUGCAUAAGUGACGGUACCGAAAAAGCAAGCCACGGCUAACUACGUGCCAGCCGCCGCGGUAA
Molecule: ribosomal RNA, 523 nt
Filed under: uncultured Veillonellaceae bacterium
Lineage: Bacteria; Bacillati; Bacillota; Negativicutes; Veillonellales; Veillonellaceae
Description: bacterial SSU rRNA
Rfam family: Bacterial small subunit ribosomal RNA
Source: RNAcentral